GCAAGAGAAGCUGAACGGUAAACCAAUAACCAAUCUAGCGAUUGGACGUGGUCGGUAACAAGGCGACACUAGGUUUUUCAGCACUGAAUGUUACUAAGAGGUUGUAGGUUCGAAUCCUAUCUCUUGCACCA
Molecule: transfer RNA, 131 nt
Filed under: bacterium
Lineage: Bacteria
Description: tRNA-OTHER
Rfam family: tRNA
About the family: Transfer RNA (tRNA) molecules are approximately 80 nucleotides in length. Their secondary structure includes four short double-helical elements and three loops (D, anti-codon, and T loops).
Source: RNAcentral